Molecule: ribosomal RNA, 246 nt
Filed under: uncultured bacterium
Lineage: Bacteria
Description: partial 16S ribosomal RNA
Rfam family: Bacterial small subunit ribosomal RNA
Source: RNAcentral
AGUAACGCGUGGGUAACCUGCCUCACACUGGGGGAUAACAGUUAGAAAUAGCUGCUAAUACCGCAUAAGCGCACAGCUCUGCAUGGAGCAGUGUGAAAAACUCCGGUGGUGUGAGAUGGACCCGCGUCUGAUUAGCCAGUUGGCGGGGUAACGGCCCACCAAAGCGACGAUCAGUAGCCGGCCUGAGAGGGUGAACGGCCACAUUGGGACUGAGACACGGCCCAAACUCCUACGGGAGGCAGCAUG